AGAACCAAAUAGUACUAGGUACAGCCCAAUCUCAUUAUUUAUGACGAGCAGGAUGACAAAGACAAGGCUUCUGUUGAAACUCGGAAAAAAUUCGAAGACUUCUAUCACACAGAGAUGCUUAGAAUCAAGCCGAUAUAAGGUCAGAUAAAUUGCUGUGUUUUCUCACUGAACUACUUUGUUUGUUUUUUUGUUAAUUAUAGGGAACGGACGUCAAAAAAUAUGCGCCCGAAAUCAUGAGUUCCGCUCCGAAAGCCAAAUCACGCAGUUCUAUAAUCACGUAAUCUUUUUUACAGUCACUAUUUAUUUAUUUGAUUAAAUUUAAUUUGACGUAGAUAGUAAUAGUAAAAGCAAUCAAAAUAUAAUCUAAAAGGUAGAAAACAUAAUUUGACUUAAAUCUUGAUUUGCUGCCGCUCGUGUUCCAAAAAGAUGACAAGAUCACAGCCAGAUGCCAUAUUGAUUGUAACCAGUUAAAGCGAGACCAAAAACAAGUACCGCAUGUCGAUCUCGUGAAAUUAGCUGCUUAUGCUGUAUAUAAAACCAAACCAACUUGACUAGAAUGUAGUUCUUACAUGUGGCUGUUGAUGUUCACAUCGCAAAUAAAGAACGUGCAGCACUGCAGCUGUGCUUGCCACAAAACGAUAUGUUACAUGUGUGUAGUGAAAGAAGGUAAGACACCAUAACGCGAUUAAUUUAUAGCCCAAUUUUUCAGGUCCACAAAAUGUAGCCGUUGGUGCUCUCAGUUUCAUGAUUUAUUUCAUCUUGAAAUUAGUCACCGAUUACUUCACGGAUAUCUUUCGCUUCUGUUGCCAUCUCGUUUAGGUACAUAUAUGGACUAUCCUUAGGUUUGUUUAUUUUUCCCGAUGACACAUUUUUUUUAAACAUUCACAUAAAAAUGAGCGCAUUUGCUAACAGUGAUAUUUGUGCUGCUGGUGUAUUGUGAAGUCAAAACUUACAAAACGCACUGCCAUAUUUUUUCUUGAUUUGUUUGCUUUUUUUUUUAAUUAUUUGUUAAUUAUUUUUUAUUUGUGUUGUCCUACCGAGAGAAUUUCGCGAACACAAAUAGUGUAUACGGUGAGGUAAUGUAUAUUUUCACUUUUCGUUUCGACAACAUCUUAAAAGAAAUGCACAUUAUCCUAA
Long non-coding RNA from Daphnia pulicaria, 1137 nucleotides. RefSeq lists it as uncharacterized. Lineage: Eukaryota; Metazoa; Arthropoda; Branchiopoda; Diplostraca; Daphniidae. The transcript has 2 exons. The record is from RefSeq and is a predicted model, not a curated record.